GUUGCCUUCUAUGCCUCUGCUUUCCGCUAACGAUCUUCCUGCUUAUGACUAUGAUCCUUCCUCCACUGAUACCAUUAUCGAACUUCUUACUAGUCAAUAUGCUAAUAUUGAAGAUGCGGAUCUGCUUUUCUGCAACACUUUUGACAAAUUGGAAGGGGAGAUUAUCAAAUGGAUGGAGGGCUGGGGAAGGCCAGUGAAAACCAUAGGACCAACUAUUCCAUCAGCAUUCUUAGACAGAAGAGUAGAGAAUGACAAGUACUAUGGGCUAAGCCUGUUUGAUCCCAACCAAGAUGACUGU
Molecule: unclassified non-coding RNA, 298 nt
Filed under: Hevea brasiliensis (rubber tree)
Lineage: Eukaryota; Viridiplantae; Streptophyta; Magnoliopsida; Malpighiales; Euphorbiaceae
Source: RNAcentral